This 344-nucleotide long non-coding RNA is filed under the name Triticum aestivum (bread wheat). RNAcentral's name for it is "long non-coding RNA (TAES_LNC007650)". Lineage: Eukaryota; Viridiplantae; Streptophyta; Magnoliopsida; Poales; Poaceae. The record is from RNAcentral.
CUCUUCGCUCCAGGGCAUGCCCUUGCGGAGCUCGUCGCUCCUCGCGCCACGGCCACGGUCACAGCCUGCCGUAGAGAUUCACGAUGGUGGCGGCAUUGUCGUCGUCCCACGAGUUAGACCUGGACGUGGGCGAGGCAGGCCGUCCGAGGAGGAGCAAGCAGCCCACGGCGGCGAGAUCCAUGACGCGGCCAUGAAGGCACCUGCAGAGAGGAACGACACGUAGUUCAGAGACGAGAGAGAGAGAGAGAGAGAGAGAGAGAGAGGGAGGGAGAGAGGAAAGAGGAGAAAGGAGAGAGGGAGGCACGGCGGUGGGGUCCUGCUGUCUGCUCCCGGCGAGGUCAGGA